RNAcentral lists this long non-coding RNA (3291 nucleotides) under Homo sapiens (human). Its description in RNAcentral is "HSALNT0297781". The record is from RNAcentral. Lineage: Eukaryota; Metazoa; Chordata; Mammalia; Primates; Hominidae.
CCUCAUGAUCUGCCUGCCUCGGCCUCCCAAAGUGCUGGGAUUGCAAGCGUGAGCCACUGCGCCCGGCCGACUCACUCCUGUUAUGAGGGCCUAGUCUAGCACCCACUCUAGAAUUUUGAAACCUCAUUGAUAGCUUUUCCUUGCCCCAAAGCACACAUCCAGGACUGCCAAACAGGGCAACCCAAAACUUCUCUCAGAGCUUCCUCCAGCCCAGGGGCAGCUGUCCCCAGCUGGGCGGACCCAAAGAUGGACAACAGAGGAGACUGGGAACAAAGAGGUCUAGUCCAGGUCACUCUGCAGGGCCACAGUGGGUGGCCCUUAGGAUGUAGUGAGAGUACAGAAUUGGGAGCCCUAGAGUGCUGUAAGCAAAAGGGAGAGCAAUGUACAAAGUUUCAAAAGUUUCAAACCUUCCAAGUGCAAAGAGAUGAGGUGGAGAAUGUCAUUCCCCAAGGAAAGUAAUCGAGUAUAAAUAUUUACCGGGUGCCUAUUUUUUUUUUAACCGAAGUGAGAGCAAGACCUUAAGAGUAAGGAUAUGUGUAGGUGAGUGGGGGCAGUGUUCUAACCCAUCCACUAGCUUUAGAACUUGGAGCAGGGGCAGAGGAAGAAAACUCCAAAAGGUGACAAGUUUUGAAAUUUGUGCAGGGGUGACGGUUUUUGGUAAGGCGAGCGAGGCUGGGCGCAGAGCAAAUUCUGUCUACUUCUACCUCCUCCGCGGUGGGGUUGCUGAAGUGGGAAUUCAAACUCAGCUUCCCAAUCUUAAAUGCAAGGUUUUUGUUUGGUUGGUUGUUUGGUUUUGUUUUUCCUUUUCACGGACUGUUCAUUCCGAACACCCCUGGCCUGGGACCUGGAGCCUCAUCCCUGAUUCGCUUCCCUCGAAUUCCUUAAUGUCCACUUCUGGCUCUCCCAGUCCCUGUGCAAGUCUCCCGGUUCUGGCUGCAACUUCGCACUCCGCGCCUCUGGCAACCAGAAGAGACCCUGGCAUCUCCAAAGCGCUUUAUCUCAGUCCAUUGGAACCAGUCGUGCUGACCGAUUCACACCUCGGCUAACGCACACUCGCGGGGGUGAUGGCCUUCCCUUCCCCUCCCACCCCCGUCAGCUCCCAGUUUGGCAGGGAUCCUUAGCGGUAGAAGUGUUCAGAUGCUGGACUGAUGCAGUGACAACCUGCAAGUCCCUUUUUUCCUCUUUCCACCUUCUAGUCUCCCUCCAGUGCCUCCUCUUGGCAGAACCUAACAAGAAAUCAGCUGACAAGGGAGUCUGGGAACCAGUGUCCUGUGGUAAGUCACCAUGAUGCAAUGUUUGCCUCCAUGAUAGGCAGGCUAUUCCAGAGGCCACAGAUCAGGAAGACUCAGACCAAAUUAUGAUGAUCAAAUCACAAGGGUUAUGGAAUCUAUUUAAAGCAUAGAGCCAGAACCAAGGGGACAGAUUUACACAAGGUUGAUACACUUGGGAAUGCAAGCAGGGCAAAAGUCCUGCACAGUCUCACAGCCUCAGUCAUGUGUUUCGCUCUGCAGUGGUAUAGUUAUGAGGACCAGAACUGAGAUUGAGUAAGGGGAUCAAUAUGAGGAAGAUGCUUAGAACCAAGGUAUACUCAUUCUAUUGAGAGAUGUUUAAGGGUAGGUAGGCUUGGCCACAGGUCUUUGUCAGUGUUCUGGGAAGCCAUACUUUUUGCCAGUAUUUCUUGGGUAGAGCUUAUGGGGGGCCAGAAGGUGCCACCAGUAGGUAGUCAAUUUAGGGAUGACAUGGACACCAGCCAGAAGGUGGCAUAAUCUAUACCUCAUGGCUUAUGAUUUGUUUUUUCCUAUCCUUUUCUGCCUGUAAGUAGCACUCUUGUUUGUUCCAUCCUUUUGUAGUCUAUUCCAUUUAUUCUGUUUUACAUGUCUUGCAGGUUACUAACUUACUAUAGAUUGAGAAUCCCAAGUCUGAAAUUUGAAAUGCUCCAAAUUCUGAAACUUUUCGAGUACUGACAUGGCACUCAAAGGAAAUGCUCAUUGAGGCAUUUUGGAUUUCAGAUUUCUGGAAUGGGGUGCUCAACAUAUAAGUGUAAUGCAAGUAUUCCAAAAUCCAAAAAGUAUCCCGGAUAAGGGAUACUCCAUCCUGCAUUUUUAGCACAUCUUCUGAAUUCUGCCUAUGUCUCACAAAUGACUUGCUUACUUUGUAUCUAUAGUUAAUACAUCUGAUGAGUUUCACCCACCUGCUUUUCUUGUCCUCUGUAUGAAACUGAAUAUUCUCAUGUAACAGAGCAAACACACAUUGUAGCCAGUAUUAUAGAGAAAAGUACAGAGGAGUAGGUUGGGGCUGAGGGAGACAAAAUAAAUAACUAGCAGAAAACCAGUUUUAUGUAUUUUUCAUACAGCUAACCAUUUUCCUAGUUGCAUUUACUGAGUAGUCUCUUCUUUCCCUUCUGACCUGACAUGCCAUUUCUGUCGUGUUCCACAUUUCAUACGUAUGUGGGUCUGGCUCUAGGCUCUCUAGCAUUGGUCAGUAUGGACACCCCAAGUGCCUUCGCCAUUGCCUUAUUUACUGUAGCAUUAAAUAAGUUCAGACAUCUGUAGGGCAAGUUUUCCUCUCCCAAAUUGUCUUCAGAAAUGCCCUGACUAUUCUUGGCUCUUUGUUCUUCCAAAUAAUAAUAAUAAUAUACAAUUUUAUAAAUGCUUAUCAGAUUUCCUUCCAAAACAGCCUUUUGGAUUUUGAUCAAAAUUCCUCCAUAGAUCAACCUGGGGAGAACGGAAUCUUUCCUUCAGAGAACUUGGUAUAUAUCUCCAUUGUUUGAGUCUUCAUUAAAGUUUAUAAUUUUCCCUGUAAUGGUUUUAAUUCAUUCAUUAUUGUUAAGUGAUAAAUUCAUUUAAUUCAUUGUUAGAUUUAUUCCUAGGUAAUUUAUGUCCUCUAAGACUAUGGCAAAUAUUAUCUUCUUUUUAAUUAUUUUUGUUGCUGGUGUAUGAAAUUGCAAUUUAUUGUUUUAUAUUAAUCUUUUAUUGAGCUACCUUAUUAACUUAUCUUAUUAGAUUGAAGUAUUUCUAGAUUAUUUUGGGUUUUAUAUGUAAAUGAUCAUAUCACAAGCAAAUAGUGAUAAUUUUAUGUUUCCUUCCCAAUCCUUCUGCAACUGAUUUGUUUUACUUAAGUUAAUAUACUGGCAAGAACAUCUAAGGAUAGAAAGGAGUGGUGAUCAUGCACAUCCUCACCUCAUUCCAGAUUUUGAAGUGUAAGCUUCUAAUGUUUCCACAUUUGCUUAAUUUUUUAAAUGUGCUUUUUAUUUAUUUAGUUAUCAUUUUUAAAUUAUUAUUUUAUCUUAGA